This 263-nucleotide ribosomal RNA is filed under the name uncultured bacterium. RNAcentral describes it as "partial 16S ribosomal RNA". It matches the Rfam family "Bacterial small subunit ribosomal RNA", at positions 793 to 1055 of the family's 1533-position model. The record is from RNAcentral.
GUCCACGCCCUAAACGAUGUCAACUGGUUGUUGGGAGGGUUUCUUCUCAGUAACGUAGCUAACGCGUGAAGUUGACCGCCUGGGGAGUACGGCCGCAAGGUUGAACUCAAAGGAAUUGACGGGGACCCGCACAAGCGGUGGAUGAUGUGGUUUAAUUCGACGCAACGCGAAAACCUUAACCUACCCUUGACAUGUCUGGAAUUUUGCAGAGAUGUGAAAGUGCUCGAAAGAGAGCCAGAACACAGGUGCUGCAUGGCCGUCGU